This 492-nucleotide ribosomal RNA is filed under the name uncultured bacterium. Its description in RNAcentral is "partial 16S ribosomal RNA". It matches the Rfam family "Bacterial small subunit ribosomal RNA", at positions 29 to 507 of the family's 1533-position model. The record is from RNAcentral.
AUUGAACGCUGGCGGCAUGCUUUACACAUGCAAGUCGAACGGUAACAGGCCUUCGGGUGCUGACGAGUGGCGCACGGGUGAGUAAUGCAUCGGAACGUACCCAGAGGUGGGGGAUAACGCAGCGAAAGCUGUGCUAAUACCGCAUGUGAUCUGAGGAUGAAAGCGGGGGACCGAGCAGCAAUGUUUGGCCUCGCGCCUUUGGAGCGGCCGAUGUCGGAUUAGCUAGUUGGUGGGGUAAAGGCCUACCAAGGCGACGAUCCGUAGCUGGUCUGAGAGGACGACCAACCACACUGGGACUGAGACACGGCCCAGACUCCUACGGGAGGCAGCAGUGGGGAAUUUUGGACAAUGGGCGCAAGCCUGAUCCAGCAAUGCCGCGUGCGGGAAGAAGGCCUUCGGGUUGUAAACCGCUUUUGGCAGGAACGAAACGGUGUCCGCUAAUACCGGGCGCUAAUGACGGUACCUGCAGAAUAAGCACCGGCUAACUACGUG